RNAcentral lists this ribosomal RNA (484 nucleotides) under uncultured bacterium. RNAcentral's name for it is "partial 16S ribosomal RNA". It matches the Rfam family "Bacterial small subunit ribosomal RNA", at positions 30 to 507 of the family's 1533-position model. The record is from RNAcentral.
AUUGAACGCUGGCGGCAGGCCUAACACAUGCAAGUCGAGCGGAUGGAGGGAGCUUGCUCCUGGAUUCAGCGGCGGACGGGUGAGUAAUGCCUAGGAAUCUGCCUGGUAGUGGGGGAUAACGUCCGGAAACGGGCGCUAAUACCGCAUACGUCCUGAGGGAGAAAGUGGGGGAUCUUCGGACCUCACGCUAUCAGAUGAGCCUAGGUCGGAUUAGCUAGUUGGUGGGGUAAAGGCCUACCAAGGCGACGAUCCGUAACUGGUCUGAGAGGAUGAUCAGUCACACUGGAACUGAGACACGGUCCAGACUCCUACGGGAGGCAGCAGUGGGGAAUAUUGGACAAUGGGCGAAAGCCUGAUCCAGCCAUGCCGCGUGUGUGAAGAAGGUCUUCGGAUUGUAAAGCACUUUAAGUUGGGAGGAAGGGCAGUAAGUUAAUACCUUGCUGUUUUGACGUUACCAACAGAAUAAGCACCGGCUAACUUCGCG